AUUAACGCUAGCGGCAGGCAUAAUACAUGCAAGUUGAACGGGAUUAGUUUAGCAAUAGACUAUGAGAGUGGCGCACGGGUGCGUAACACGUAUGCAACCUGCCCUUGACUGGAGGAUAGCCUCUCGAAAGAGAGAUUAAUAUUCCAUAACAUAUAGGUUAAGCAUUUAAUUUAUAUCAAAGCUCCGGCGGUCAAGGAUGGGCAUGCGGUUGAUUAGCUAGUUGGUGAGGUAACGGCUCACCAAGGCGACGAUCAAUAGGGGGUCUGAGAGGAUGUCCCCCCACACUGGUACUGAGACACGGACCAGACUCCUACGGGAGGCAGCAGUAGGGAAUAUUGGUCAAUGGAGGCAACUCUGAACCAGCCAUGCCGCGUGCAGGAAGACUGCCCUAUGGGUUGUAAACUGCUUUUGUACGGGAAGAAAUGUUGCUACGUGUAGCAAUUUGACGGUACCGUAAGAAUAAGGAUCGGCUAACUUCGU
This 480-nucleotide ribosomal RNA is filed under the name uncultured bacterium. RNAcentral describes it as "bacterial SSU rRNA". It matches the Rfam family "Bacterial small subunit ribosomal RNA", at positions 29 to 506 of the family's 1533-position model. The record is from RNAcentral.